GUUAUGAUAUUAGAAUAGGUAUAACCCCAAUCUGUAUUUCAACUUCAGCACAUGCAAGACUUAAUUAUAGAUAUCAUUAAAAAAAAAUUGAUGCUUUUUAAAAAUAGGAAGUACAUUUAAAUCUAUUUGACAAGAUCUGUUUGCUGUUCCUCGUUUGCAUUAUCUGUUGUACAGAAUACAUAAAAUGCAUGUUCUAGCUAUUUAUUAAAGACAUAUCUUGAAGGCAUAGGUUCAAGUUACAGAAGUAUUUUUUGAAUAGAAAUAUUCCUGGCGGUUAAUAAAUUGGCAUUUCUUUUAUGGUUUUGAUUAUAUCUUUAUUUUAACCAUUAGAGGGCACAUUAGUUCAAGAAAAAUUAAAAUCACAGCAACAAGAAGAAAAUAGGCUUAGAAGUGAUAGGCAGAGAAAAUUUCUGUGUUUUACUGUGCAUAUUUUCACUCAUUUUAUUGUCACUUGCAACAUAAUCUAUUAGUUUUUUAAAUCUGGAAAGAAUUCAAGUGUAUAUAGUUUCAUUUAAGAAAUGACUCUUCACUUUUUAUUGCUAGCUACUGCUCCUAAGAGAAUGAAGUUGGCCUAGUUGAAUUUGAUGAGGUUGACUAUUAUGUGACCAAGAAGGACAUAAUAAAUCAUGGCAUUUGAGGAACAUCCUGAGUUCAAAGAUUCUUCUCUUCCAGACUAAUGCUGAUCAGAGCUGCAUGCCACGAGGACUUAGUGAUAAAACCACACUGGCCCGGCUGUUUCAGAGUGUUAUCUGUGAAGAGGGGCGGUGGCCCAGGUGGAUGCCUUUCACUUGGGCCCUAAGUCCAUUCACUUUCUAUAGCGGUUUCAUGAGAUUCAUCCUGGAGCUGUCAUGAUCUCAGAGCUAUCGUAUUAGCAUCACUGUUGGACAUGAACACAUAUUGACAAUAGCCUUAACUUCUCUUCUUCCUUAAAGAAACUUCUAAACCACGGCACUACCGUGCAUCUAUGUGGAUAGAGCCCAAAUGCGAGUUUCCCUUGGUGAUGAUAGGAUAAAUGUAUACUUUGUCUCACUUUUCAAUUAGGGUGAUUGUGUGAUGACUCUAUCCUUAGUACCUUUAUACAUUGUUAUCCUGGGACUACAUCUUCCUCAUCAUAUUAGAACUUUCUGCUCUGAAGGCUGAGGAGUGUGCAAUGGCCUGUGGGCUCGGUGUUGGAUAUUUUAAGUAUGGCAGAGCCAGAGGAGGUGUACUGAGUGACUGAAGAUCUCUACGUUAGGCCCUGUGUGGAAGCUCUUUGUGUAAGUCUAUACUCUCUGCCUCAGAUUCCUCUUUCUCAUGUGUGUGUGGGGAGAACCUAAAAAUAGUGCUUGAAAGGGUUGCCAAGAUCUUAGCUUUGUGUUGGAGAAACCGUCCACUAAUCUUAUUGCCUGAAACCAGAGUCAAAGAAGGUGCUCUGAAAUGAAGGUUCAGAAGAAGAACAAACGUUUCCACAUUGAUUUCCAGCAAGGCAUCCAGCCUUCUACCUGGUUACUGAGGAGGUGAGGCAGAUGAGAACGCACCUGCGGCUCAGGGCCAGGGCGGGCGCGUGCCUCCCAGCUCUGGGUCCCUGUGGUGUAUGCCAUGUUUGAUGUGUAACUAACCCAUCUCAGCCUCAGGUUUUAGGUAUAGCAAGUGGAGGAGAGCUCUGCUAUGUUGCCGAUGAUGGGAAGUAUUUUUAAAUUUAAUAAAUGCAUGGUAUGAUUAUUCCUUUUUAGAACCACAGACAGAAGCCUAUAGGGCUCACCGUUCUGCAGUUGGUGCAGUAACUUCCUCCUCGGCUGGCUUUCUCUCCUCUUCCUCCACCCCAGGGACCUGUUGUGGCUCUCUCCUCUAGUGCAGAGUUAAGACUGUCAGGGGAAUACCAGUUAAUUGCUGAGUAGCUAAUCAGCAUCGUAAAGGUCAGUGAUAACAGGCAACAACUUACUCAUGUUCACAAACAGCAGGAUAUG
Bubalus bubalis (water buffalo) is the source of this 1946-nucleotide long non-coding RNA. RefSeq lists it as uncharacterized. The record is from RefSeq and is a predicted model, not a curated record. The transcript is spliced from 2 exons. Lineage: Eukaryota; Metazoa; Chordata; Mammalia; Artiodactyla; Bovidae.